CUUCUCCCAACUCCCACCCCAUCCCUCAAGGUCUGGGAAAGGUAUUAAGACUUGGGGCAUCAUGUGUUGCUGCAAAACUUCAUCAGGGACACUUUCGGCCUCAGGAAAUUAAUCUUCGAAUGGCAUGAGAUGCAUGGGGGCACUUGAGCACUUUGCAAUGUGUGCAAUGAGAAUACAUUUCCAGGAAACUACUCCGCGUUUCCUUCAUCCCCUAAUGACCUGCCUGGGAACAGGCUGCACCUGCACACAGGGUCUCCUUUCCCACUUGAAGAAAAGCACAGCAUAUGCCCAUUCAUCUAGAAUCAUCCUAUCAUGAAUUGUCCCAGUGUGUAAAAUCCUCCAGGGUGGCAAAGGGACAAUUAGGAGUGCGGGCGGCAAUAUGUAAUCAAGGCAGUACACACUGGUAUUAGAAUUUCAUGUUUUUCCCUUUCUUAAGCAUAUUCCAAAACUUGGUGUUAAAAACUAGGCAAUUUUGCCAUUUCUAAAUUCUGGUAUUUUGUAACAGUAAUGGCAGAAGUGAUGAAAAUUUUGAAAAAAAAAUUAUACUGCUUCCAC
This 555-nucleotide long non-coding RNA is filed under the name Pan troglodytes (chimpanzee). Its description in RNAcentral is "long non-coding RNA NONPTRT005453". Lineage: Eukaryota; Metazoa; Chordata; Mammalia; Primates; Hominidae. The record is from RNAcentral.